AUUGAACGCUGGCGGCAGGCCUAACACAUGCAAGUCGAGCGUGAAAGUCCUUCGGGAUGAGUAAAGCGGCGGACGGGUGAGUAACGCGUAGGAAUCUACCUGAUAGUGGGGGAUAACGUUCCGAAAGGGGCGCUAAUACCGCAUACGUUCUGAGGAAGAAAGCGGGGGCUCGCAAGACAUCGCGCUAUCAGAUGAGCCUGCGUCCGAUUAGCUAGUUGGUUGGGUAAAGGCCUACCAAGGCGACGAUCGGUACCGGGUCUGAGAGGAUGAUCAGUCACACUGGAACUGAGACACGGCCCAGACUCCUACGGGAGGCAGCAGUGGGGAAUAUUGGACAAUGGGCGCAAGCCUGAUCCAGCCAUGCCGCGUGUGUGGAGAAGGCCUUCGGGUUGUAAAGCACUUUAAGCGGGGAGGAAGGCCUGAUGGCUAAUAUCCAUCAGGAUGGACGUUACCCGCAGAAUAAGCACCGGCAAACUUCGUGCCAGCCGCCGCGGUAA
RNAcentral lists this ribosomal RNA (497 nucleotides) under uncultured bacterium. Its description in RNAcentral is "partial 16S ribosomal RNA". It matches the Rfam family "Bacterial small subunit ribosomal RNA", at positions 30 to 523 of the family's 1533-position model. The record is from RNAcentral.